Molecule: ribosomal RNA, 566 nt
Filed under: Cordyceps sp. O_3_BESC_246l
Lineage: Eukaryota; Fungi; Ascomycota; Sordariomycetes; Hypocreales; Cordycipitaceae
Description: partial 28S ribosomal RNA
Rfam family: Eukaryotic large subunit ribosomal RNA
Source: RNAcentral
ACCUCGAAUCAGGUAGGAAUACCCGCUGAACUUAAGCAUAUCAAUAAGCGGAGGAAAAGAAACCAACAGGGAUUGCCCCAGUAACGGGCGAGUGAAGCGGCAACAGCUCAAAUUUGAAAUCUGGCCCCUAGGGCCCGAGUUGUAAUUUGCAGAGGAUGCUUUUGGCGAGGUGCCUUCCGAGUUCCCUGGAACNNGACGCCAUAGAGGGUGAGAGCCCCGUNUGGUUGGACGCCGAGCCUCUGUAAAGCUCCUUCGACGAGUCGAGUAGUUUGGGAAUGCUGCUCUAAAUGGGAGGUAUAUGUCUUNUAAAGCUAAAUACCGGCCAGAGACCGAUAGCGCACAAGUAGAGUGAUCGAAAGAUGAAAAGCACUUUGAAAAGAGGGUUAAAUAGUACGUGAAAUUGUUGAAAGGGAAGCACUUAUGACCAGACUUGGACCCGGUGAAUCAUCCAGCGUUCUCGCUGGUGCACUUUGCCGGGCUCAGGCCAGCAUCANNNNGNCUCGGGGGAUAAAGGCUUUGGGAAUGUGGNNNNNNNGGGNGUGUUAUAGCCCAUUGCACAAUACCCU